UUAUGUUCCCAAAAAAAACGGUAUGUUCUCCUAAAAAAAAAAAAAACUUCAUCCUCAAAGACGAGGGCUUAAUUACUUAUUUGAAAAGUGCAUGCUCUUGCUGAAGUCUGUUAAAAUGAGGAGAUAAUAAUGGCUGACAAAGGAACUUCUCCCAGCGUGAACAAACAGCGGUGUCUGGGUCCCAAUACACAUCUCAAUACACAUCUCUCUGAGCUGCCCAGAGGUCGAUGACUUUUCUAAGAAAAGUCUGAUCGCUGAUGAGAACGGCAGGAAAGGAGCUUGGACUGCGCACUAAUUCCCAGAUUUAAACUAAAGGGUCACAAGUGUCAUCCACCAAGUCAACCACAUACAGGGAUCUGGGGGGGGGCGCUUUAUUCCACCUCUUAUAGGCAAAGACGGGCAUUGGACAAUACAAGAAAAAUAUACACCACCUGGCUGGUUAUUUAGUGGCUCAUAACCUGACAAACAUAAUAAUCUGUAUCACUGGUUGUACAAGGUGAACUAAAGUUUAUUUGAUAAAUGUAGUAUUUGUGCAGUGUGUGGUUUACCAUCACUCGAAGGAAUAAUUGUGAAGGUCACAAUGUUUGCGUUCUUUUCAGAAAAUGCUUUAAAUGCAAUGAAUAAUACAGAAUGUUUUGUGCAGCCUCUGGGCCCUACCUGUACGCAUUCUAUUCAUAUUGUCCCACUCAGCUAAUGCCUUUUGAAAUAAUUCCCUAGACUGGCGCCAGAUACGGAAUAGAACAUAGCUUAAAACCUUUCUGUUAAACCAACAGAAUUAAAAAUGGUGGCGUAAUUGCAAGUCGGGCAUAUUUAUAGAAUGCAUUUAGAAAAGCUGCAGACCUCCUUAGAACUGUUUAGAAAACCUAGUUCGCUUUACAUUAUGCAUUCAUAAAUGUUACGUAGGCAAUAUAACCGGCGUGUAGAGAAAACACUGGAGCUUCCUUUACUCCACAUAAGCUAAGUAAUGAUCUGAAGAAGUCUUACUGAAAUUAUAGUAAAUACAUUGAUGUACAGAUUAAUAUACUAAAUUAAUAUGUGUGUUUUAUACAGCAUGUCCUGUUAAACGAAUCUAUUUUAUUUGGGGUGUUUUUUGUACAAUUGUUUUCAGUGUAAUGGCGCGACUGUACUUGCGAUUGUCAAUGUGAAUGCAUUAUUUUUUAAAUUCCAGCAAAAACGAUUUAGAUUUUUUUGUAUUUCAAAAUGUAUAAAAAAGAUACAGUUAUUUUUAUGUGUAGGUUGACAUUAAAACGCAUGUGUAUUUUUUCGAAACAUCUCGGCAUACACUACUGUUUUAAAUUGAAUUGAGCACAAAAUAAAUGUUCAAACCGAAAAACAAUUACCGUUGAAGAAAACAACAUCUUUAUGGGCAUAAACCAAAGUUAGCAGAACAAAUAAACAUGAGCAAAUGUAUUUCAAACUAUCAGCUUUGUAUUAAGGUAUGGAACUUAAAACUCUGUCUCCUACUAAUGCAGUUAAAAAAAACAAAAAAAAAACAAAAAAAAAAUAA
Acipenser ruthenus (sterlet) is the source of this 1507-nucleotide long non-coding RNA. RefSeq lists it as uncharacterized. The transcript has 2 exons. Lineage: Eukaryota; Metazoa; Chordata; Actinopteri; Acipenseriformes; Acipenseridae. The record is from RefSeq and is a predicted model, not a curated record.